CGGCGGACGGGUGGGUAAUGUAUGGGGAUCUGCCUGAUGGCGGGGGAUAACUACUGGAAACGGUAGCUAAUACCGCAUAACGUCGCAAGACCAAAGAGGGGGACCUUCGGGCCUCUUGCCAUCGGAUGUGCCCAGAUGGGAUUAGCUAGUAGGUGGGGUAACGGCUCACCUAGGCGACGAUCCCUAGCUGGUCUGAGAGGAUGACCAGCCACACUGGAACUGAGACACGGUCCAG
This 235-nucleotide ribosomal RNA is filed under the name uncultured bacterium. RNAcentral's name for it is "partial 16S ribosomal RNA". It matches the Rfam family "Bacterial small subunit ribosomal RNA", at positions 96 to 334 of the family's 1533-position model. The record is from RNAcentral.